This 431-nucleotide long non-coding RNA is filed under the name Helianthus annuus (common sunflower). The record is from RNAcentral. Lineage: Eukaryota; Viridiplantae; Streptophyta; Magnoliopsida; Asterales; Asteraceae.
UUUCCCUCCCCAUAUCCCAAAUUUUUUAGAUUUCCCACCCAUUGUGAAAUUCACGCCCAAUAAGGUGUAUGCUGAGUAGGGGCGGUGGAACUUGUUCCAGAACGUGGAAGGCAUCUUCAUAAAAAAGUCGAAGGAUUCGUUGUAAUUUUCACAUGUAGUUCGCUUUGAGAGUCGCAAUUAAAUGAUUGCGUCAAUCUUUACUCUUCUCGUGGGUGGAACAUUAUUGAUGUUUCCAACUUUCUCAAUCUGUAUUCCAUGAGGAUUGAGGACGCAUGAUAACUCAAGAUUUUAUGCUUCUUAUUUCUUUAAUUACUUUUAAUUUGUUUGUUUAAUGUUAAGACUUUAUGUUAGAUAAUGUUAUAAGUUAUUUAUGGUUAGUAUUUUUGUUAUGAGCAUGCUUAUUUGAAAUAUAAUGAAGUUUUAUUUCUUUC